UCUUGACUGGAUGGCUUUUUUUGAGUGUAAAAAGCUUGAAGAAUAAGAGCUGGGCAAGACCGGUGCCAGCCGCCGCGGUAACACCGGCAGCUCGAGUGGUAACCAUUUUUAUUGGGCCUAAAGGGUCCGUAGCCGGCUUAUUAAGUCUUUGGUGAAAUCCUGUAAUCCAACUGUCAGGCUUUCAGGAGAUACUGUCUGGCUCGAGGCCGGGAGAGGUGAGAGGUACUUCGGGGGUAGGGGUGAAAUCCUGUAAUCCA
Molecule: ribosomal RNA, 257 nt
Filed under: uncultured archaeon
Lineage: Archaea
Description: partial 16S ribosomal RNA
Rfam family: Archaeal small subunit ribosomal RNA
Source: RNAcentral